This is a long non-coding RNA of Wyeomyia smithii (pitcher-plant mosquito), 1546 nucleotides long. RefSeq lists it as uncharacterized. Lineage: Eukaryota; Metazoa; Arthropoda; Insecta; Diptera; Culicidae. The transcript is spliced from 3 exons. The record is from RefSeq and is a predicted model, not a curated record.
CAAAAACAAAAUCUGAGUAGGUACAUAUAUUUAAUUUAGCAGUCGGAUUAAAAAUAUAUACGUUUGAAUCUACACAUUUUGUUAUCGGAAAGUACUUAAUGGUUGUACGAGCAAACAAAAAAGCGGUAUCAUUUACGUUGCGAUGACUGAAGAUAAGACUAUUGAGAUCGUAGAAUCUGCUCAGCAUGAAAUGCCGAUAGAAGAGAAGCAACCACAGUUUAAUCCGUGGCCUCAUUUGAAAGAUUAUUUUAAUUUUUCCAAGCGAAAUGCAAAAAACCAACUUCAACUCUUUUUUAAGUGCAAGCUUUGUGCCCCUAAAAAUACAACAAUCAAAGCACAUGUGAGCAGUUAUUUUAAUUUGAAAUCCCACAUGAGACGAAAUCAUCCGGCAAAUUUCGUAGCAUUUGAACAAUGUAUCAAAACAGGAAGUCUUCGGGGAAAGGAAAGAAAUGAGUGUGGUGCAAGUAAUACCGAUCUAUCUCUAACAAAACCAGGACAAACUUUGUCUUCGAAUAUGCGCCAAACUUUAUUUAAUAAAUACCGCACAAACUCCAGCGUUCAUGAGAAGCAAUCCACGUUUGACGAAAAAAUCGUCAAUUUUUACGUUCAAAAUAUGUUACCAUUUCACUCCGUGGAAUCCGAUUCAUUCAAAGAAUUGAUCACAACGUUAAACCCAAAAAUGUCAUCCAUGUCACGUAGAACGCUUGGCAAAAGGAUUACUGUACAAUAUAAGGAACUCGAGGAACUUUUGAUAAGAACCUGAGAAAAUAUCCAGUGGGUAUCUACAACGGCAGAUUGCUGGUCGGCACAUAAUCGAUCAUACAUCGGCAUGACAGUUCAUUGGUUGCAUCCGGAGACGCGUCAAAGACAGCAUGCUGUACUAGCAUGUUCACGAAUAACUGGUCAUCACACAUACGACGUUUUGGCAAGAGCGAUUGAUACGGUCCAUUGUAAAUUUCAUUUACAAGACAAGGUUUUGAGAACAACAACGGACAAUGGACGAAAUUUUGUAAAAUCUUUCAUUCAAUUUGGAUUAGAAAUAAGUUGUUUACCAGAAACACUUUCUGACGACGUCCACCAGGGAGAAAUGGAUUUGAAUAGUGAUUAAGGAGAGGAGCCAGUUGCAAUUCAAGAUAUUCUCACCGAAUCCUCUGAAAUUUCUCUUCCCAUGCACAUGAGAUGUGCUGCACACACGAUUAAUUUAAUCGCAACCGUUGAUGCGAACAAGGCACUCGAAAACAAUGCCUUUAGAAAUGCUUAUCGAAAAGCUAUGAGUAAGGCACAGGGAUUUUGGAACCUACAGAGUCGCAGCACCGCUGCUGCUGAUUUAAUAUCUACGGACUUAAAAAGAAGAUUGGUUGUGCCAAAUGCGACGCGAUGGAAUUCUAUGUUCGAUUCUGUUCGUGUUUUAAAUGAAAUUAUCAAAAACGAUCACAAAGCUGUAUAUAGAGUCAUGAUGCAGCUCAAGUUACCUACGUUCUCCGAGCAAGACGUUGGGUUUCUGAAAGAGUAUGAAAAGGUUAUGACCAUAAUAGCAAUAUCGCUG